Molecule: ribosomal RNA, 469 nt
Filed under: uncultured bacterium
Lineage: Bacteria
Description: bacterial SSU rRNA
Rfam family: Bacterial small subunit ribosomal RNA
Source: RNAcentral
GACGAACGCUGGCGGCGUGCCUAACACAUGCAAGUCAACUUGACUGAAGGAGCAAUCUGACAGUAGAGUGGCGCAAGGGUGCGUAACGCGUAAGUAACUUGCCCCAAGGUAAGGAGUAACGUCGAGAAAUCGGCGCUAAUACCUCAUAAUGCAGCGGAUCCGCAUGGAUAUGUUGUUAAAGGUUUACCGCCUUGGGAUAGGCUUGCGUCUGAUUAGCUAGUUGGUGUGGUAACGGCACACCAAGGCUACGAUCAGUAACUGGUCUGAGAGGAUGAUCAGUCACACUGGAACUGAGACACGGUCCAGACUCCUACGGGAGGCAGCAGUGAGGAAUAUUGGGCAAUGCUCGAAAGAGUGACCCAGCAACGCCGCGUGGAGGAUGAAGGUAUUCUAUAUCGUAAACUCCUGUGAGAGCAGACGAAAGACAGAUUAUUAAUCUGGAUGACUGUAUGCUCAGAGGAAGCCCCGG